AGUAACGGCGAGUGAACAGGGAAAAGCCCAAAUUUGUAAUCUGGCACUUUUUACAAGUGUCCGAGUUGUAAUUUGUAGAGCUGUUAUCCGUACUGGACCAUGUACAAGUCUGUUGAAAAGCAGCAUCAUUGAAGGUGAAAAUCCUGUAGAUGAUAUGGACUACCAGUAUAUUUGUGAUACGGUUUCUAAGAGUCGAGUUGUUUGGGAAUGCAGCUCAAAGUGGGUGGUAAAUUCCAUCUAAGGCUAAAUAUAAGUGAGAGACCGAUAGCAAACAAGUACCGUGAGGGAAAGAUGAAAAGAACUUUGAAAAUAGAGUUAACAGUACGUGAAAUUGCUGAAAGGGAAACGUUUGAAGUUAGUUUUGUAUUCGUUGGAUCAGCUUCGCAAGGAGUGUAUUCUGAUGAUAAGCAAGUCAACAUCAGUCUAUGAGUGUUGGAUAAGGGUUUUGAGAAUGUAGCAAUUUAAUUGUGUUAUAGCUUGAGACUUGGAUACAAUGCUUUGGAUUGAGGAACGCGUAGUAAGCUUUGAGCGGAUUCGAAAGAAUCUCCUUACUAUGGAUGUUGGUGAAAUAACUUUAAGCGACCCGUCUU
This 590-nucleotide ribosomal RNA is filed under the name Melampsora sp. HMAS 64717. RNAcentral's name for it is "eukaryotic LSU rRNA". It matches the Rfam family "Eukaryotic large subunit ribosomal RNA", at positions 82 to 655 of the family's 3401-position model. The record is from RNAcentral. RNAcentral also lists the same sequence under 1 other name. Lineage: Eukaryota; Fungi; Basidiomycota; Pucciniomycetes; Pucciniales; Melampsoraceae.